CCUACGGGGGGCUGCAGUCGAGAAUCUUCGGCAAUGGGCGCAAGCCUGACCGAGCGACGCCGCGUGCGGGAUGAAGGCCCUCGGGUUGUAAACCGCUGUCAGUUGGGAGGAAAUCACAUGGGGUUCUCUCCAUGUGUUGACCUAUCUUCAGAGGAAGGACGGGCUAAGUUCGUGCCAGCAGCCGCGGUAAGACGAACCGUCCAAACGUUAUUCGGAAUUACUGGGCUUAAAGGGUGCGUAGGCGGCUUCGCAAGUUGGGUGUGAAAUCCCUCGGCUCAACCGAGGAAUGGCGCCCAAAACUGCGGAGCUCGAGGGAGACAGAGGUGAGUGGAACUUGUGGUGGAGCGGUGAAAUGCGUUGAUAUCACAAGGAACACCGGUGGCGAAAGCGGCUCACUGGGUCUUUUCUGACGCUGAGGCACGAAAGCUGGGGGAGCGAACGGGCUUAGAUACCCGUGUAGUC
This 462-nucleotide ribosomal RNA is filed under the name uncultured Planctomycetaceae bacterium. Its description in RNAcentral is "bacterial SSU rRNA". It matches the Rfam family "Bacterial small subunit ribosomal RNA", at positions 338 to 795 of the family's 1533-position model. Lineage: Bacteria; Pseudomonadati; Planctomycetota; Planctomycetia; Planctomycetales; Planctomycetaceae. The record is from RNAcentral.